UCACAAGAUAGAACACCAGAUAUGCAAUUUCGAGGACGAAAUUUUAAUAAGGAGGGAGGAAUGUAACACCCCGCUUUUUCCUAGCUAAAUUUAGAGUAAUUUUGAACUUAGAAGUCGGGAGGAUUCACGCCGGAUAUAAAGAAAAUGAAUUUAUUUUUAAUUCCAACAAAAAUAAUUUACAAAAACAUUUGUAAAUUUAGUUAUUGAAUUUAUGUGCGUCGCAUAUUUAUUUAAAGCAUUUUCACGAGCUUUUAGUCAACAAACCCUGAAGAAUUAUUACAGUUUUUAUAGUACAACCCGGAAGAUUUUUUUUAUUUUAUUUUAUUUUAUUCCACUACUCCCACCUACUCUCCACCUUUCCUCCCACUUUCCCUUCCACUACUCCCACCACCAACUUCCACUGCACCUUUCCUUCCACUUAUUCCAUCAACCACCGACUCCCUCACAAUUUUAUAUCACCUUCCCUUUACACCACUAUACCAACUAAAACAUUUUAUAUCAGCUAAGGGAAGCUUUAACUCUGUUUCAAACAAAUCACCACAAUUUAUUCUCACAAGAAAAACGCAGAUGGAGGGCCUUAUUCACCAAAUUCCCUCUUUCAAGAACAGAACUUGAACUUACAAAGUUUUUGUUGCUGCAUGCUUUCACACCACAAGAAGCUUGGUUUUAAAGGACUCUCCCUCAACAGAUCAACAAAUCAGUAUCACAAGGCUUUGUGACCAGGGGGAUUAGCGCUGCUUCCCAAGACAGGUUUAUAUGUGAUUAUGAUCUUCAGGCUUUGCCUAACCAGGUUGAGCAGUUGAUGGAAUGGAAUGAUGUUGAGCGGGUGUUCCUUUGACAUUUCAAGAAAUGUAACCUUGAGGAUACAUCUUCAUAUGUAUAUCUCACACGUUUUUCCGCUGCAAAACACUUUGAUUAGGAUAACUCUAUGUUAUGAAGUUGUGACACGUGUUAUUGGGUAACCCACCUUAAUCAGUUCUCCUUUAUGUGUAUGUGUUAUAAGUAUCCAAAUGAUCAUAUAUGAUCAUAGUUUUUUUUAUUUAUGAGUGACAUUUCCAUAUACUUUAAUGUUAAGUAAUUGUCCAUUUCCAUUUCUUAUUGUUCACCCCA
Long non-coding RNA from Salvia miltiorrhiza (redroot sage), 1110 nucleotides. RefSeq lists it as uncharacterized. The record is from RefSeq and is a predicted model, not a curated record. The transcript has 3 exons. NCBI's taxonomy places the organism in Eukaryota, Viridiplantae, Streptophyta, Magnoliopsida, Lamiales, Lamiaceae.